RNAcentral lists this signal recognition particle RNA (296 nucleotides) under Callithrix jacchus (white-tufted-ear marmoset). Its description in RNAcentral is "Metazoan signal recognition particle RNA (ENSCJAG00000054453.2)". It matches the Rfam family "Metazoan signal recognition particle RNA". Rfam says of the family: The signal recognition particle (SRP) is a universally conserved ribonucleoprotein. It is involved in the co-translational targeting of proteins to membranes. Lineage: Eukaryota; Metazoa; Chordata; Mammalia; Primates; Cebidae. The record is from Rfam by way of RNAcentral.
GCUGGGCGCUGUGGCCCGUGCCUAUAGUCCCAGCUACUUGGGAGGCUGAGGUUGGGAGGGUUGCUUGAACCCAGGAGUUCUGGGCUGUAGUGCGUUAUGCUGGGUGUCUGCACUAAGUUCAGCAUCAAUACGGUGACCUCCCCAGAUCGGGGACCACCAGGUUGCCUAAGGAGGGGUGAACUGGCCCAGGUCAGAAACAGAGCAGGUCAAAACGCCCGUGCUGAUCAUUAGUGGGAUCACGCCUAUGAAUAGCCACUGCACUCCAGCCUGGGCAAUGUAGCAAGACUCCAUCUCUU